RNAcentral lists this ribosomal RNA (372 nucleotides) under uncultured bacterium. RNAcentral describes it as "bacterial SSU rRNA". It matches the Rfam family "Bacterial small subunit ribosomal RNA", at positions 524 to 898 of the family's 1533-position model. The record is from RNAcentral.
UACGGAGGAUGCGAGCGUUAUCCGGAUUUAUUGGGUUUAAAGGGUGCGUAGGCGGGAUAAUAAGUCAGCGGUGAAAGUUUUCGGCUCAACCGGAAAAUUGCCGUUGAAACUGUUGUUCUUGAGUGCAGAAGAGGUAGGCGGAAUUCGUUAUGUAGCGGUGAAAUGCGUAGAUAUAACGAAGAACACCAAUUGCGUAGGCAGCUUACCAUACUGCAACUGACGCUGAGGCACGAAAGUGUGGGUAUCAAACAGGAUUAGAUACCCUGGUAGUCCACACAGUAAACGAUGAAUACUAGCUGUUUGCGAUAUACAGCAAGCGGCCGAGCGAAAGCAUUAAGUAUUCCACCUGGGGAGUACGCCGGCAACGGUGAA